GUUCAAGGGAAGAGGGGCUUACGGUGGAUACCUAGGCAUUCAGAGGCGAAGAAGGGCGUCGUGGCCGACGAAAUGCUCCGGGGAGCUGGGAUUGUGUGAGGAUCCGGAGAUUCCCGAAUGGGGUAACCCCAAUGUACUCGUGGGCUUUUGGCUUGCGAGGGGCAACCUGGCGAACUGAAACAUCUUAGUAGCCAGAGGAAGAGAAAGCAAACGCGAUUCCCCCAGUAGCGGCGAGCGAAGAGGGAACAGCCUAAACCGGUUGAUCCGGGGUUGUGGGAGGGCAGUUAGGGUGUUUCUUCGCUAGACGAAGCGGUUGAGUUCCGCACCGCAGAUGGUGAGAGUCCAGUAGUCAAAAGCGUCGUUUCGCCCUUGUCCCAACCCGAGUAGCAUGGGGCACGUGAAAUCCCGUGUGAAUCUGCGAGGACCACCUCGUAAGGCUAAAUACUCCUGGAUGACCGAUAGCGAACUAGUACCGUGAGGGAAGGGUGAAAAGAACCCUGGAGAGGGAGUGAAAAAGACCAUGAAACCGUAAGCUUACAAGCGGUGGGAGGGGGCUUGAACCCCUGACCGCGUGCCUGUUGAAGAAUGAGCCGGCGACUCAUAGGCGGUGGCACGGCUAAGGCGAUGCACGCCGAAACCGUAGCGAAAGCAAGUCUGACAAGGGCCCAUGUCAUCGUUUAUGGACCCGAACCCGAGUGAUCUAACCAUGGCCAGGGUGAAGCUUUGGUGAGACUGAGUGGAGGCCCGUACCGACCGAUGUUGAAAGAUCGGCGGAUGAGCUGUGGUUAGGGGUGAAAUGCCAAUCGAACUCGGAGCUAGCUGGUUCUCCCCGAAAUGCGUUGAGGCGCAGCGGUGUUCGAGGGUGGGCCAGGGGUAAAGCACUGUUUCGGUGCGGGCUGCGAGAGCGGUACCAAAUCGAGGCAAACUCUGAAUACUGGCCCUGCUUGCCGAACACCAGUGAGACGAAGGGGGAUAAGCUUCUUUGUCGAGAGGGGAACAGCCCAGACCAUCGGCUAAGGCCCCCAAAUGGCCGCUAAGUGGCAAAGGAUGUGGGAGUGCUCAGACAGCCAGGAGGUUUGCCUAGAAGCAGCCACCCUUUAAAGAGUGCGUAAUAGCUCACUGAUCAAGCGCUCCCGCGCCAAAGAUGAACGGGACUCAAGCGGCCUGCCGAGGCCAUGGGAUGUAAAAAGCAUCGGUAGGGGAGCGUUCCGCGGCAGGUUGAAGCGUAAGCGAGAGCAGGCGUGGACGAGGCGGAAGUGAGAAUGUCGGCUUGAGUAACGCAAACACUGGUGAGAAUCCAGUGCCCCGAAAACCCAAGGGUUCCCCUGGAAGGCUCGUCCACGGGGGGUGAGUCAGGGCCUAAGGUGAGGCCGAAGGGCGCAGCCGAUGGACAACAGGCAUACAUUCCUGUACCUCUCCGGGCUGGGGACGAGGGACGGAGCAGGCUCGGUUGGCCGAGGGAUGGUAUCUCGGUUGAAGGGCUCAAGGCGCGAUGGGGGCAGUGAUCCUGGCCCUAGCUAAGGCCCGAGUUAGUAAAGCGUCAAGGCGCUGAAGAAACCUAUGCCAUGCUUCCAAGAAAAGCUCGUACCUCUUCAGGCUCGGAGGGCCUGUACCCGAGACCGACACAGGUGGGUGGGUAGAGAAUACCUAGGGGCGCGAGGCAACCCUCUCUAAGGAACUCGGCAAAAUAGCCUCGUAACUUCGGGAGAAGAGGUGCUCCCCUCUUUGGGGGGAGCCGCAGGGACCAGGCCCAAGCGACUGUUUACCAAAAACACAGGUCUCCGCCAAGUUGAAAAACGAUGUAAGGGGGCUGACGCCUGCCCAGUGCUGGAAGGUUAAGGAAGUUGGUGGCCCCCUCCUUGAGAGGGGGGAAGCUGGCAACCGAAGCCCCAGUCAACGGCGGUCGUAACUAUAACGAUCCUAAGGUAGCGAAAUUCAUUGUCAGGUAAGUUCUGACCCGCACGAAAGGCGUAACGAUUUGGGCGCUGUCUCGGAGAGGGGCUCGGUGAAAUAGACAUGCCUGUGAAGAUGCGGGCUACCUCCACUGGGACAGAAAGACCCUAUGAAGCUUUACUGUUCCCUGGCAUUGGGUCUCGGCCCUCCCUGCGCAGCCUAGGUGGGAGGCACAGAAGCUCUUCUUCCGGGAAGGGCCAAGCCAUCCGUGAGAGACCACCCUGGAAGGGCUAAGAUCCUAAACCGAUGCCCUAUGAUAGGCGUUGGAACCGUGCCAGGCAGACAGUUUCUCUGGGGCAGAGGCCUCCCAAAGAGUAAUGGAGGCGUGCAAAGGUUCCCUCAGGCUGGACGGGAAUCAGUUGUAGAGUGUAAAGGCAGAAGGGAGCUUGACUGCAAGACCAACAAGUCGAGCAGGGACGAAAGUCGGCCUUAGUGAUCCGACGGUGCCGCGUGGAAGGGCCGUCGCUUAUCGGAUAAAAGUUACUCUAGGGAUAACAGGCUGAUCUUCCCCAAGAGUCCACAUCGACGGGAAGGUUUGGCACCUCGAUGUCGGCUUAACACAUCCUGGGGCGGUAGCACGUCCCAAGGGUUGGGCUGUUCGCCCAUCAAAGUGUUACAUGAGCUGGGUUCAGAACGUCGUGAGACAGUUUGGUCCAUAUCUAGUGGAGGCGUGAGAGCAUUGAGGGGCCAUCUCCCUAGUACGAGAGGACCGGGAGGCACGCACCGCUGGUGUGCCAGUUCUCGUGCCAACGGGACACGCUGGGUAGCCAUGUGCGGAACGGAUCACUGCUGAAAGCAUCUAAGUAGGAAGCCUACCCCAAGAUGAGUGCUCGUUAUUAGGCCCCGGUCAGAACAACCGGACUCCAAUCAUAGGAGAACAGAGCUGCCAUGUGGAAGUGCAGCGAUGCAUGCAGCAGAGGCAGGCUAACAGGCCGAUACACUUGAACCA
Molecule: ribosomal RNA, 2902 nt
Organism: Klebsormidium nitens
Lineage: Eukaryota; Viridiplantae; Streptophyta; Klebsormidiophyceae; Klebsormidiales; Klebsormidiaceae
Rfam family: Bacterial large subunit ribosomal RNA
Source: Rfam